Molecule: ribosomal RNA, 423 nt
Filed under: uncultured bacterium
Lineage: Bacteria
Description: bacterial SSU rRNA
Rfam family: Bacterial small subunit ribosomal RNA
Source: RNAcentral
AGGGAAUCUUCCGCAAUGGACGAAAGUCUGACGGAGCAACGCCGCGUGAGUGAUGAAGGUUUUCGGAUCGUAAAGCUCUGUUGCCAGGGAAGAACGUCCGUUAGAGUAACUGCUAACGGAGUGACGGUACCUGAGAAGAAAGCCCCGGCUAACUACGUGCCAGCAGCCGCGGUAAUACGUAGGGGGCGAGCGUUGUCCGGAAUUAUUGGGCGUAAAGCGCGCGCAGGCGGCUGUUAAGUCUGGUGUUUAAGCCUGGGGCUCAACCCUAGGUCGCACUGGAAACUGGACAGCUUGAGUGCAGAAGAGGAGAGUGGAAUUCCACGUGUAGCGGUGAAAUGCGUAGAGAUGUGGAGGAACACCAGUGGCGAAGGCGGCUCUCUGGGCUGUAACUGACGCUGAGGCGCGAAAGCGUGGGGAGCAAAC